UGUUUCAUGUGGGGGGACCGGUGUUGCCGGUUGAGAUUGUAUCCAAUAGAUACUGACCCUUGGAACCUGAUCUGGCUGAGACCAGCGUAGGGAACAUAUCUGAACACGUA
RNAcentral lists this non-coding RNA (110 nucleotides) under Paraliobacillus sp. PM-2. RNAcentral describes it as "TPP riboswitch aptamer (THI element)". It matches the Rfam family "TPP riboswitch aptamer (THI element)". Rfam says of the family: Vitamin B(1) in its active form thiamin pyrophosphate (TPP) is an essential coenzyme that is synthesised by coupling of pyrimidine and thiazole moieties in bacteria. The previously detected thiamin-regulatory element, thi box was extended, resulting in a new, highly conserved RNA secondary structure, the THI element, which is widely distributed in eubacteria and also occurs in some archaea. Analysis of operon structures identified a large number of new candidate thiamin-regulated genes, mostly transporters, in various prokaryotic organisms. RNAcentral also lists the same sequence under 1 other name. Lineage: Bacteria; Bacillati; Bacillota; Bacilli; Caryophanales; Bacillaceae. The record is from Rfam by way of RNAcentral.